RNAcentral lists this non-coding RNA (24 nucleotides) under Mus musculus (house mouse). The record is from RNAcentral. Lineage: Eukaryota; Metazoa; Chordata; Mammalia; Rodentia; Muridae.
CAGGAAUCAACUGCGGACUACCAA